GGAAUUGCUUCACCUUUUUGAAUCACAGUUGAGCCUUCAGCAACUCCAUCCUCUAUUCUCCACAGUAGGUAAUUUUCUUCACAUGUUUCUUUGCCAGCUUCAACCAAAGGUGUUGCAACCAACCACAUCUUAGUGAAUAAGAACUUAAAAAUAAGGAAAUCACAUCUGAAUCUAUCACAAGGAUUAUAAGCAAAUUAAUCAUGUGGUUUCCAGCCUCAAAAGCCAGGUGCCAAUUUAAGCAUGCAAAUAUCUACAAGCAACGAAGGUUUAAAAACUAACGUGUCUUAUUAGAUGGAAAGAUUC
This 303-nucleotide unclassified non-coding RNA is filed under the name Hevea brasiliensis (rubber tree). Lineage: Eukaryota; Viridiplantae; Streptophyta; Magnoliopsida; Malpighiales; Euphorbiaceae. The record is from RNAcentral.